RNAcentral lists this ribosomal RNA (555 nucleotides) under uncultured bacterium. RNAcentral's name for it is "bacterial SSU rRNA". It matches the Rfam family "Archaeal small subunit ribosomal RNA", at positions 726 to 1275 of the family's 1478-position model. The record is from RNAcentral.
AGUCAAUAGAUACCCAGGUAGUCCUAGCCGUAAACGAUACUCGCUAGGUGUCGGCCACGGUGCGACCGUUGUCGGUGCCGUAGGGAAAGCCGUGAAGCGAGCCACCUGGGAAGUACGGCCGCAAGGCUGAAACUUAAAGGAAUUGGCGGGGGAGCACCACAACGGGUGGAGCUUGCGGUUUAAAUUGGAUUCAACGCCGGAAAUCUUACCGGGACCGACAGCAACAUGAAGGCCAGGCUGAAGACUUUGCCGGAUUAGCUGAGAGGUGGUGCAUGGCCGUCGUCAGUUCGUACUGUGAAGCAUCCUGUUAAGUCAGGCAACGAGCGAGACCCACGCCCACAGUUGCCAGCGUACUCUCCGGAGUGACGGGUACACUGUGGGGACCGCCGCUGCUAAAGCGGAGGAAGGAAUGGGCAACGGUAGGUCAGUACGCCCCGAAUAUCCCGGGCUACACGCGAGCUACAAUGGUUGGUACAAUGGGUAUCUACCCCGAAGGGGGUAUGGAAAUCUCCUGAAGCCAAUCUUAGUUCGGAUUGAGGGCUGCAACUCGCCCUC